RNAcentral lists this long non-coding RNA (249 nucleotides) under Pan troglodytes (chimpanzee). RNAcentral describes it as "long non-coding RNA NONPTRT013059". The record is from RNAcentral. Lineage: Eukaryota; Metazoa; Chordata; Mammalia; Primates; Hominidae.
UUUAAAUAACCAUAUAUUGUAAAGAUCCCUGAAUUUAGUACAAUGUAUCCUCAUCAUCUAUAAGAUCACUUGCUGGGGAUUAUAAUCUAGUCUCUUUUAAAAAUAGCGAGAGAUUAUAAGGAAUAUUUUUUCCCAAGGCUUACUGUAUUUUAAGACAUACACAAAAUAGCCCUAAUAAGAACUUCUUUUCCUUAUAAUAAAUAGGAGUGAAUUGACUUAAAUAGUAAACAUUAUUGAGCUGGUUUAGGA